This 426-nucleotide ribosomal RNA is filed under the name Boreoiulus tenuis. RNAcentral's name for it is "partial 16S ribosomal RNA". It matches the Rfam family "Bacterial large subunit ribosomal RNA", at positions 1827 to 2523 of the family's 2925-position model. Lineage: Eukaryota; Metazoa; Arthropoda; Diplopoda; Julida; Blaniulidae. The record is from RNAcentral.
AUGUCCUUUUGGGUUAAAUAAAAGGUCUAAUCUGCCCACUGUAUUUAUAAAGGGCUGCAGUAUUAUGACUGUACAAAGGUAGCAUAAUCAUUAGUUUUUUGAUUGAGGACUUGUAUGAACGAUUGGACGAGAAAUUGCUGUCUCAAAAGUAUGAGGUGAAAUUUUCUUUAGUGUGAAAAGACACUAAUAAGCUAAGGGGACAAGAAGACCCUUUUAAGCUUUAUUUGAUUGGAUAAGAAUUAUUAAAAUAAUAAUUUAUUUUUAAUUGAUUAAAUUUUACUGGGGCGGUGAAUAAUAAACAUUAUUAAUAAUAGAUGAUUUAAUUAGGUGGAAAUAAGAGCGUGUAUUACGGAUUAUGAGAAAAAGUUACUAAAGGGAUAACAGCGUAAUAUUUUUUAGAGUUCAUAUUGACAAAAGUGUUUGCGA